AGACUAGUGCUUCCUGGUCUGGAUUUGGUAAACAGAGCAAUAUUAACAUGCAUAGCUGACACAUGCUCCCGAUUAUUAUUUUCUUACUUAAGUUAUAUAAUAACACAAUUAUAGGCAUUUAAGCGUAUCACCGGAACCCCCCCCCCCCCCAUUCAUUGAAGUGCGUCACACACAGCAGAGUCCGCCGUCCACAACGGGAAGGGGCCAUGUCGAUGCUGCUCCUAAUUUCGUGCUUUUACUAACGGUAUAGGAAAUGUACUGAUAGAAUUGCACUUAUAUCGAAUUUUGGAAGGAAGGGAACACCAUACCAAGAUACAAUAAUGUCUGCGGACAAUUUUCAGACAAAAUACUCUUCCGUCAUGGAGAGUAUGCUCAAGGCUGCAAUCGCAGAGACCACGAAACUUUUCGAAACUAUGGUCGACGAACUGAAGGCAGAAAUAUCCAACAUGAAAAAGGAGAACGAGGAACUCAAAACAAGAUGCUGCCAGUUUGCGAGUGAGAGAAACCAACCAACUGUUUGUAUCAUUUCCGGAGAACGGGAGCUUCUUCCAGGGCCCAGCGACGGCACUGAGCAACGUGAUCAAGCUAUUCAAUGCGAUCUUGUUCCAUUCAGAAUGAUGCAAGUGGAGCAAUGUCAACCUUUGAAUCAUCUGGAAAUUGAUAACACUUUGCACGACCACAAUUAUGGAGAGGGAGCUACUCAAAUGGCCAUUAUAGUUGUCAAACAGGAGGAUUCCGAUGAUUCUUCUUCGCAUUCUGUCAUGAAGCAAGAGGAAGUUGAGCCAAUGGAGGUCUGCGGGCAAGUUUCAGGUGAUCAACCAGAUCCUCCCCAGGCCUCUGCCUGUGCAACUGAAACAGAAGGGCAUCCCAUUAACCAGGAAAGUUCAACUGGAGUAAUAACCAUGCCUCAAAAAGAGACCCCAGUAUCCCUGGAACAACCCUAUUUGGGAAGCGAUAGAGGUCUACAAGGAGCUCAGAACCAAUUGCCUAUAUUGGUGCCUUCAAUAGUGUUCUCACUUGCUUCAUUAAACAACAACAUAGAAGAAGAGUCUGAAGCAAGUCAAAAGAUAUCAACAACACAGGAAGAACUCUUAACAUCAGAAAAGCACCUAUCGGUGGUUGCUCAUAAUGUGGUCAACCAACAAUGUCCAAAGGAGGGCAAAACAUCAGUAAAUGAACAGGCUGAUAUUAUUCUGAAUUAUGCAGGGAAACAAUUUGCAAAAUGUAAACAACUCCAUGAAGAACAAGCAUUAGAAAAAUCAAAAAGUGGCGAAGGGGAGGGUCAUCCCCAGCCUGAGUUGUCAGGAAGACGUAGAAGAGGACGGCCGCCAAAGCAAGCCAAAUGUCAGCAACAACCUAUGGAAGAAAAUGGUUCUCCGGCUGUUUCAGUACCAUCUGUAGCUAUAAGAUGUUCCUCUAGAAAGGGAAGAACCUCUAAACCCAAACAACUUUCCAUGGAAAAGGAAAAGAUGUCAAUUCAAACUCCAUCCACUAAAUCUUUAUCUUUAAUUGAAACAUUAAACCCUCCCGAAGGUGAGUCCAGAGAACGUUUCAGCUCUGUAACUCUUCAAGAUGCAAUGCUGUUAGUUGAAGCAAUGAAUCAGUCAACAGUGGCUAUGGCGGCACCGGCUAAACCCCAGAGUGCUUCUCAUGUGAGCAUCCUACAAACUGUGGUUGAGGUCCCAACAGAGCCACAGACACCACCGCUUCAUGUUGAAAUGCGUAAAGCUGCAGGCAAUCUGCCCAUUACAGAACUCUCUACAAAAGACCAAUCGACCAUAGAGAAACAAAAUUACUGUUCAGUAAAUUCAGAUACAUCUCCGAGCAAUGUGCUUCAGUCGAACAUUGACUUUGUCAUACCAAAACAACAGCAUAAAGUAAUUCCAUCUAAACCUACUACAGCUUUAAUUCCCUCAACAGAUGUUGCAGUUCAAAGCAUUCUGUGGGCACUUCAAGAUCAACCUUUUGCUUCUCCAUUAUCAGUAGCAACCAGCAAACCGCUUAAGGCGGUCUCACGUAAAAUAAUUGCCAUGCCAAGAUCAGUAUCCUUCUUAAAACCUCCUAAAAUAGGAGCUUUAUCUCCGUCUCAGCUUCCUGCUGUUGUGUCAAAAGUUGUUGCUGCACAGAAAAAGAGUAUAAUUCCAGACUCCUUAACUGCUGGCUUGCCUCUCGGAACCCCUUUUAAAGCCUCUGUUCCUCAGAAAAUAAUAGACGCUGCGUCCAUGAAAUUGUUUUCUGCUGACCCUUCACAGUCGACCACAACCUCAAAAGAGCCAUUGUCAGGGCCCCCACAACAACCUAAAUUAACAAUAAUAAUUCCAAGAAAAGUGUCAGCUUUGGCGUCAAGGAAGUUUAAUUCACAGACCAUCGCUGUGAAAACCAUGCAAGGUACAGCCAAAUCAGAUGCUCCUGUUACGCUGUCAUCACCCAAUUUGAUUUCACCGUCACAGGAGUUAAGGAUUAUUGUGAGUCCACAGAUUGCUUCAGAUGAAAAAACCAAAGUGUUGUUUCAAAACAAGAGUGAAACAUCAGAACCUAUUUUAGAAUGUCCCCAACAAAAUGUCUCUGUUUCUGAGCUAAUGAAAGCCCGUACAGAAAACGUUCCCAGUUCAAACACGUCAAUGGGGCCAGUGCCUCCCUCUGUGACUCCAGUGAGAACGCAAAUUGUUGCACCAAAAUUCUCCGCCGUGGUCAGAUUAACUAGGCUCUCGUUUCCAAUAUCAGCCAAAGAAGCAGUCAAAGUCUCAAGACUGCCUACAGAUGGAUCUUCUGAAAACUUGAAAGAAGGUAUCACAAAAGAGAAACCAUCACCUAUGGUUAUAUCAACGCAGCCAUCAAAGACGCUUGUGUCAUCCACUGAGUUGUGUCCCAGUUUGAAAGAAACUCCUGUGGUUCUGCCUGUGAAUACGUCUCAGAUGACAGAGCAGCCAAAAGUUAUUCAAGAGAAGGUAUCAUUAUCCUCUGAAGGCAGUACACCAGUCAAGGUGUCAACACCAAACUUUGAGAACUCAACAUUGGCCAUCAACACAACUAAGCCUCGAAUUGUGUCUGGCGGAGUUGGUUUACCUACUUCUAAUGAGGAUAAGGAUAUAAUUGAAUUUGGAGAGCAAGAUUUGGCAUCACCUAAUGACCAACCUACAAAAAAGAAAUCAUCAGCUGCCAUCAUUCAUCUUACUCCAAUCACCACCAAGGACAUGCCAAGUCCUCAUUCACAGAUGACUAAAGCCCAGUUCCUUGCGCAGCUGGCAGUGAAACCUAUUACGGAAGACCCAACAAAGGCUUCCUCUAAUUACUCAAUGGAUGCCACAGCUUCCAAUGCAGACACCAGAACUGGAGUCAAGAAAAGGUUACAAAAAAAAUCUAUUUUGGCCAAACGCCAAAGUCAUCUCAAAACUCAAAUAACUAAAAAUGUUACAUCUCCAACCAAGACAACUGAUCACCCUGUUCCUUUGAGUCCCAGGAGAUCUAGACAAUCUGGUGUUGGAUGCAAAAGGACUGUUAGUGAUCCACCUGUCAAUUCUAAGCGGUUUAAGGCUACUAGAGAAUCCACUCCUUUGAGUCCCCGGUCUACUGUAGAUGUUGUCUCCACAACCGAACAACCAACUUCUCUGAGUCCUAGGAGGUCUAACUUUACUAAACAAAAUGCUAGCUCUAAAAAGGCUAAAUCAACUUCUGUCAGCCCUAGGAGGUCAACCUUAAGUAAACAAAGUGCUAGCUCUAAAAAGGUUAAAUCCACUAAGAUGAGUCCCAGAGAAUCUAUCUCAAUUAAAGAAAGUGCAAGCCCUCAAAAGACAAAAUCCACUUCUGCAAGUCCUAGAAGGGGUAGCUCAUCUCAUGAAAGUGAUAGCUCAAAAAAGACUGAAAGCAUUUCUCUGCGUCCUGGAAGGAUUAGUUCAACUAGGGAUUGCACUAGCUCUAAAAGUUCUAAAACCACUUGUGUGGACCCAAAGGGGACUAGCCCUAAAGUGAUCUUCAAGGAGUCGCCUUCUUUCUGCCGUAGAAAAUGUACCUUACCUAAAGAUCUUACUAGCAGUGCACUGACUAAAGGGGAAACCAGUUCCUUUAAUCCUGGGUAUAGAAUAACUUCCGACGAGGCUAGAACUAAAAACGUUAAGUUGAAUCCUGGUUCCCCAAGUAUUAGGUGGCCUAAAUUGGCUAAAGGUGGUGUCAGUCCUAAAAGUAAAAGGAAAUCUACUGUUGUUAAAAACAACAGAUUAAGUCCAGAUGUUACCGGUCCUGAAAAGAAUUUAAGAGUGGUGAAUGGUAACAAGUUGUCUAAAGCAACAAAAGCCAAAACAAUGGCCAAAAUGAGACUCUCCAGUCAAUCAAAGUUGCAGAAUGUAGCUAAAACAAGCCAGUCAGCAGAGAACAGUGAUGCUGAGAAAAAAAUUACAGCUAAAGCCAUCUGGACUCCUCCUACAGUAUUAGCCAAUAAAAAACCUCCUACUGGGGUGAAGAAAGACACAAAAUCACCAGGAUCCCUGAAUCAAUCGCUAGUUUUCCCUCCAAGUGUUUCUCUCUUCCCCAUACCUGUCCGAGGACCUCCUGUUAUAUCACCACUACAGCCUUUAUCAGUCAUUGGUAGGCGCCUGCUCAAGAACCAGUGUGGGCAGUGCGGUCGUGUCCUCAGCAGCGUUGCAGCCCUAGAAAGCCAUGUUCGUCUCCACACUGGUCGCCGACCUUUCUCGUGCACGCUCUGUGGGAAGGGCUUCACAGACUCAAAAGGUCUCAAACGCCAUGGACGGGUGCACCGCAAUGGUAGAAUCCAUGUCUGCCCACAGUGCGGGAAGGGCUUUGUCUAUAGUUUCGGCCUCACCAAACACCUCAAGAUGGUGCACAGGAGGAUUAAGCCUUUUAUCUGCCAGAUCUGCAACAAGGGGUUCUUCACAAAACGAGAUGUGGAAGCCCAUCUACGGAUGCACACUGGAGAGAAACCAUUUCAUUGCAACCUGUGUGAAAAGAAAUUUGCAAGGAGGGUAGAACUUAAUAUGCAUUUAAGGUGGCAUAAUGGGGAGAAGAGACACUGGUGUUCAUACUGUGGGAAAGGAUUUUUAGACUGCAAUAACUUGAAAAGGCAUAAGUAUAUUCACACAGGGGAGAAACCACAUUCCUGUCCUCAAUGUCCCAAGAGUUUCACGCAGUCAGCCCACCUGAAAAAGCAUGUAAAAAAUGUUCAUAAAAUCCCAUGAGAUAUGGACAUCCAAUAUGCCACCCUUUUCCUCUGACAAUGUUAUUUGCCUCUUCAAUGACAGAUGAAAGUAGGGUGCGGCUUAUAUUCAGGUGCGCUUAAUAGUCCGGAAAUUAUGGUACUUUAAUCAUGAAUCCGCUGUGCACAGGAUUGUGGCUCAGAAUAGCCCGAGACGGAUUGCUGCAAAAUCAGACAGGUAAAAUAGGCUCUGUUGCGUUUACAGCAAGUGGAUAUAGUACACGUUUAAAAACCUUUAUUUUACGAACUCAAACAGCAGAUCCCUUGUGUUAUAACAUCAUUUGAUUUAAAAAUAUAUAUUUAAUGAAUAGUUUUUCUUAUUUGAAUUGCUACCGAACAAAAUAAAAGGCAAUUGUAAAUAUUGUAACUGCUUGAUUUAGGUUAUUUAAUUAUCUUUUCUUUUAUUGCCUUGAUUUUGACUGCUGUUAAAAAUAUAUAUACAGCUCCAGCUACCUGUAUUGCAACCGUUCCAGUAUCUGCUGAAUUCUAAAACAGAAAUGUUUUUAGUAGUUUAUAAAAUACAAUGAAAAAAAUAAUAAUAAAACUCAGACAUGUAUUUCUGUAUUUUUUUCUGAAUUUCUCCUUUUUUGCUUUUCUUAUAUUGCCAUUGUGUGGCACAAUGUUUUUUAUUACAACGGACAGAUCAAAUGAAAUGUUUAUUCGUGCUGGCUUGAGCAGGGGGGCCUUGCGUGCGCUGCAGGAUUUUAAUCCAUGAUGGUGUAGUGUGUUACUAAUGGUUUUCUUUGAGACUGUGGUCCCAGCUCUCUUCAGGUCAUUGACCAGGUCCUGCCGUGUAGUUCUGUGCUGAUCCCUCAUCUUCCUCAUGAUCAUUGAUGCCCCACGAGGUGAGAUCUUGCAUGGAGCCCCAGACCGAGGGAGAUUGGCCGUCAUCUUGGACUUCUUCCAUUUUCUAAUAAAUGCGCCAACAGUUGUUGCCUUCUCACCGAGCUGCUUGCCUAUUGUCCUGUAGCCCAUCCCAGCCUUGUGCAGGUCUACAAUUUUAUCCCUGAUGUCCUUACACAGCUCUCUGGCCAUUGUGGAGGGGUUGCAGUCUGUUUGAUUGAGUGUGUUGACAGGUCUCUUUUAUACAGGUAACAAGUUCAAACAGGUGCAGUUAAUACAAGUAAUGAGUGGAGAACAGGAGGGCUUCUUAAAGAAACACUAACAGGUCUGUGAGAGCCAGAAUUCUUACUGGUUGGUAGGUGAUCAAAUAUGUAUGUCAUGCAAUAAAAUGCAAACUAAUUAUUUAAAAAUCAUACAAUGUGAUUUGGGGGAUUUUUGUUUUAGAUUCCGUCUCUCACAGUUGAAGUGUACCUAUGAUAAAAAUGAUAGACCUCUACAUGCUUUGUAAGUGGGAAAGCUGCAAAAUCGGCAGUGUAUCAAAUACUUGUUCUCCCCACUGUAUGGGGUGCACUUCCUUCAUCUGUAAUUUGAGAAAGCAGAUAAUAAAUACAAAGGUGUCAUACUAAA
Long non-coding RNA from Eleginops maclovinus (Patagonian blennie), 6676 nucleotides. RefSeq lists it as uncharacterized. Lineage: Eukaryota; Metazoa; Chordata; Actinopteri; Perciformes; Eleginopidae. The record is from RefSeq and is a predicted model, not a curated record. The transcript has 5 exons.